UACCAGCACCCCGAGUGGUCGGGACGUUUAUUGGGCCUAAAGCAUCCGUAGCCGGUUCUACAAGUCUUCCGUUAAAUCCACCUGCUUAACAGAUGGGCUGCGGAAGAUACUAUAGAGCUAGGAGGCGGGAGAGGCAAGCGGUACUCGAUGGGUAGGGGUAAAAUCCGUUGAUCCAUUGAAGACCACCAGUGGCGAAGGCGGCUUGCCAGAAUGCGCUCGACGGUGAGGGAUGAAAGCUGGGGGAGCAAACCGG
RNAcentral lists this ribosomal RNA (253 nucleotides) under uncultured bacterium. RNAcentral describes it as "partial 16S ribosomal RNA". It matches the Rfam family "Archaeal small subunit ribosomal RNA", at positions 474 to 727 of the family's 1478-position model. The record is from RNAcentral.